AGAGUUUGAUCCUGGCUCAGGAUGAAUGCUGGCGGCGUGCCUAACACAUGCAAGUCGAGCGGUAAGGCCCCUCCGGGGGUACACGAGCGGCGGACGGCUGAGUAACGCGUGGGAACAUGCCCCAAAGUGAGGAAUAAGCUCCAGAAAUGGAGUCUAAUGCCGCAUAUGAUCUUCGGAUUAAAGGAUUUAUCCGCUUUGGGAGUGGCCUGCGUACGAUUAGAUAGUUGGUGAGGUAAUGGCUUACCAAGUCUACGAUCGUUAACUGGUCUGAGAGGAUGAUCAGUCAGACUGGAACUGAGACACGGUCCAGACUCCUACGGGAGGCAGCAGUGAGGAAUCUUCCACAAUGGGCGAAAGCCUGAUGGAGCAACGCCGCGUGAAGGAUGAAGGCCCUCGGGUCGUAAACUUCUUUUAUGAGUGAAGAAUAUGACGGUAACUCAUGAAUAAGGGUCGGCUAACUACGUGCCAGCAGCCGCGGUCAUACGUAGGACCCAAGCGUUAUCCGGAGUGACUGGGCGUAAAGAGUUGCGUAGGUGGUCAGUAAAGCGAAUGGUGAAAUCUGGGGGCUCAACCUCACAGACUAUCAUUCGAACUCACUGACUCGAGAACAGCAGAGGUAACUGGAAUUUCUGAAGUAGGGGUAAUAUCCGUAGAUAUCAGAAGGAACACCAAUGGCGUAGGCAGGUUACUGGGCUGUUUCUGACACUGAGGCACGAAAGCGUGGGGAGCGAGCCGGAUUAGAUACCCUGGUAGUCG
Molecule: ribosomal RNA, 756 nt
Filed under: uncultured bacterium
Lineage: Bacteria
Description: bacterial SSU rRNA
Rfam family: Bacterial small subunit ribosomal RNA
Source: RNAcentral